RNAcentral lists this non-coding RNA (27 nucleotides) under Cricetulus griseus (Chinese hamster). Lineage: Eukaryota; Metazoa; Chordata; Mammalia; Rodentia; Cricetidae. The record is from RNAcentral.
UUGGGAGGAGGCUUUGGAUCAACAUGG